Molecule: ribosomal RNA, 505 nt
Filed under: uncultured bacterium
Lineage: Bacteria
Description: bacterial SSU rRNA
Rfam family: Bacterial small subunit ribosomal RNA
Source: RNAcentral
UGAGUUUGAUCCUGGCUCAGGAUGAACGCUGGCGGCGUGCUUAACACAUGCAAGUCGAACGGUGAACACGGAGCUUGCUCUGUGGGAUCAGUGGCGAACGGGUGAGUAACACGUGAGCAACCUGCCCCUGACUCUGGGAUAAGCGCUGGAAACGGCGUCUAAUACUGGAUAUGUGACGUGACCGCAUGGUCUGCGUCUGGAAAGAAUUUCGGUUGGGGAUGGGCUCGCGGCCUAUCAGCUUGUUGGUGAGGUAAUGGCUCACCAAGGCGUCGACGGGUAGCCGGCCUGAGAGGGUGACCGGCCACACUGGGACUGAGACACGGCCCAGACUCCUACGGGAGGCAGCAGUGGGGAAUAUUGCACAAUGGGCGCAAGCCUGAUGCAGCAACGCCGCGUGAGGGACGACGGCCUUCGGGUUGUAAACCUCUUUUAGCAGGGAAGAAGCGAAAGUGACGGUACCUGCAGAAAAAGCGCCGGCUAACUACGUGCCAGCAGCCGCGGUAAU